Molecule: transfer RNA, 72 nt
Filed under: Schistosoma margrebowiei
Lineage: Eukaryota; Metazoa; Platyhelminthes; Trematoda; Strigeidida; Schistosomatidae
Rfam family: tRNA
About the family: Transfer RNA (tRNA) molecules are approximately 80 nucleotides in length. Their secondary structure includes four short double-helical elements and three loops (D, anti-codon, and T loops).
Source: Rfam by way of RNAcentral
GCUUCAAUAGCUCAGUGUUAAAGUAUCAGACUGCGAAUCUGGAUUAUGUGGGUUUGAAUACCACACAUAGCA